CUUGGUCAUUUAGAGGAAGUAAAAGUCGUAACAAGGUUUCCGUAGGUGAACCUGCGGAAGGAUCAUUACACAAUAUUAUCGGGGGGGCCGGACCCAGGGUGCGCGUACUCCGCGUGCCUAUGACCUGCCUCUGUCUGAAUAUUCUACCCAUGUCUUUUGCGUACUAUUUGUUUCCUCGGUGGGCUUGCCUGCCGAUAGGACACUAUUCAAAACCUUUAUGUAAUUGCAAUCAGCGUCAGAAAUAACUUAAUAGUUACAACUUUCAACAACGGAUCUCUUGGUUCUGGCAUCGAUGAAGAACGCAGCGAAAUGCGAUAAGUAGUGUGAAUUGCAGAAUUCAGUGAAUCAUCGAAUCUUUGAACGCACAUUGCGCCCCUUGGUAUUCCAUGGGGCAUGCCUGUUCGAGCGUCGUUACACCACUCAAGCUCUGCUUGGUAUUAGGCGUCCGUCUGUCUGAAAAGGCAGGCGCGCCCCAAAACCUUCGGCGAAGUCUUACCGACUUUGGGCGCAGUAGAAUUUCUAACAACGCUCUUUGGGUCGGUACGGUCUUUUGCCGCUAAAUUGAAUUUAUUCAUUUUUCUUAGGUUGACCUCGGAUCAGGUAGGGAUACCCGCUGAACUUAAGCAUAUCAAUAAGCGGAGGA
RNAcentral lists this ribosomal RNA (643 nucleotides) under uncultured fungus. RNAcentral describes it as "eukaryotic LSU rRNA". The stretch from base 258 to 411 matches the Rfam family "5.8S ribosomal RNA". Lineage: Eukaryota; Fungi. The record is from RNAcentral.